Molecule: small nuclear RNA, 106 nt
Organism: Perognathus longimembris pacificus (Pacific pocket mouse)
Lineage: Eukaryota; Metazoa; Chordata; Mammalia; Rodentia; Heteromyidae
Source: RefSeq, a predicted model, not a curated record
GUGCUCGCUUCAGCAGCACAUACACUAAAAUUGGAACGAUACAGAGAAGAUUAGCAUGGCCCCUGCGCAAGAAACAUUGUUACUGAGGGAAACUGAGAAGAGGAGA